GCCCCAAGUGGUUUUGCAGAGCAGCAGCAAGCUCCUGAAGAACUGCCACAUUUCAGUGUGCAUUUCCUAUUAGUGAACAGAAGUAUUUCCUACUUACACAGUACUUGUCUCCAUGGAUCUUCCAUCAAGUUAGCCCACAAGGAUCUGAGCCAGAAGGGGCAUUUGCUCCGUAGUGCUGCGUUGCUGGGGAGCUGGCUGGGCAUGACGGGGCUGCAGCUGGCCCGGGUGUUCCGUCCCUCAUCCACCUCUAGAGACACUCCCUGGAGCACGAGCAGUGAGACCAGGCAGGUCUGCAGCUGGAACGGCCAAGAAUUCCGCAUGCACACCGCAGCCCCUCUGAGGGGGAAAGAGGAACCGUGACACACGAGACAAAUUAAAAGCAUAUUAAAUAUGCAGUUCUACUUUCUAGCCAGGAACUGUUU
This 422-nucleotide long non-coding RNA is filed under the name Numida meleagris (helmeted guineafowl). RNAcentral describes it as "lncRNA (ENSNMEG00000018584.1)". Lineage: Eukaryota; Metazoa; Chordata; Aves; Galliformes; Numididae. The record is from RNAcentral.